Molecule: ribosomal RNA, 213 nt
Filed under: Bodianus mesothorax (splitlevel hogfish)
Lineage: Eukaryota; Metazoa; Chordata; Actinopteri; Labriformes; Labridae
Description: partial 16S ribosomal RNA
Source: RNAcentral
ACCCAACAGCUAGCCCCACCAACCAAAAGAAACAAACCCCUAUUUAUAACCCCACAAGAACCACUAAACACUAAACAAACCAUUUUACCCCCUUAGUAUGGGCGACAGAAAAGGAGCCUCGGAGCCAUAGAAGAAGUACCGCAAGGGAAAGCUGAAAGAGAACUGAAACAACCUAGUAAAGAUUAAAAAAGCAGAGAUCACACCUCGUCUUUU